This 562-nucleotide ribosomal RNA is filed under the name uncultured bacterium. Its description in RNAcentral is "bacterial SSU rRNA". It matches the Rfam family "Bacterial small subunit ribosomal RNA", at positions 362 to 937 of the family's 1533-position model. The record is from RNAcentral.
UAUUGGACAAUGGGGGCAACCCUGAUCCAGCAAUGCCGCGUGUGUGAAGAAGGUCUUCGGAUUGUAAAGCACUUUUGGCAGGGACGAUGAUGACGGUACCUGCAGAAUAAGCCCCGGCUAACUUCGUGCCAGCAGCCGCGGUAAUACGAAGGGGGCUAGCGUUGCUCGGAAUGACUGGUCGUAAAGGGCGUCUAGGCUACUGGGCACACAAACUCAGGUGUGAAAUUCCUGGGCUCAACCUGGGGACUGCAUUUGAUACUUGUGAGCUAAAGUGCAUAAGAGGGUUGUGGAAUUUCCUGUGUAAAAGUGAAAUUCAUAGAUAUUGGAAACAACACCAUUGGCGAAUACGGCAACCUGGUCUUUUACUGACGCUGAGGCCCUAAACCGUGGGGGACAAACAGGAUUAGAAACCCUGGUAGUCCACGCUGUUAACGAUGUGGGCUGGAUGUUGGGGAACUUAGUUACUCAGUGUCGUGGCUAACGCGAUAAUCACACCGCCUGGGGAGUACGGACGCAAGGUUGAAACUCAAAGCAAUUGACGGGUUAAAAUCAAAUGAAUUGA